Long non-coding RNA from Limulus polyphemus (Atlantic horseshoe crab), 371 nucleotides. RefSeq lists it as uncharacterized. The transcript is spliced from 4 exons. NCBI's taxonomy places the organism in Eukaryota, Metazoa, Arthropoda, Merostomata, Xiphosura, Limulidae. The record is from RefSeq and is a predicted model, not a curated record.
CGGAUAAACCUACAAUAGUUGGUUAUACUCCAGGACUAACAAUGCAAGCAGGAGACACAUUGAGAUUUGACUGUGUUGCGUUUGGGGGCAAUCCACUCGCUUCUAUACAGUGGUAUCGGGGAAACAAACAGAUAAAUACAGUUUCCCGCGUCACUGGAAGUGGUGUAACAAACGAACUGGUAUUAAAAGCACAACGGGAAGAUAAUGGCGCCAUCUACCGGUGUGAAGCUAGUAAUCUUGCAACCUCUCAACCUCUUACAGCUUUCAUGAAAUAUUAGUAACGUUUCCUGCUGGGAAAGCCACCAUCAACGUUCAACCAGCACAACCCAGAGCAGGAGAAGAGGUAACUAUCGUAUGUUUUACUGACCGUA